UCAGACGGUCUGUCGCCGGUUCCCCCUUGUGGCGGGGCCGGAGGAAAGUCCGGGCAACACAGAGCACCAUCCUUUUUAACGGAAAGCUGCGGGCGACCGCAGAGACAACGUGACAGAAAACAACCGCCGCCCCCUGUGGGCGGUAAGGGUGAAAAGGCGGGGUAAGAGCCCACCGGGCGCCACCGCGAGAUGGCGUGCCGCACGUCUGAUGGGUUGCAAGGUCAAGUAUACCGGCAUCUAAGAGCUGCUCGUUCAUUGCCGGGGGGUAGACUGCUGUCGGGCGUAGCCCCGAUUAGCGACCGUGGCAACACGGCGUAGAGAUAAAUGACAGACCGGCGUCCGGCUAAAGCGCCUCACGUGUGGGGCAUGGCCGCCGGAACGACCGACAUAACCCGGCUUACAGUCUGACUG
This 411-nucleotide RNase P RNA is filed under the name human gut metagenome. RNAcentral describes it as "Bacterial RNase P class A". It matches the Rfam family "Bacterial RNase P class A". From Rfam's summary of the family: Ribonuclease P (RNase P) is a ubiquitous endoribonuclease, found in archaea, bacteria and eukarya as well as chloroplasts and mitochondria. Its best characterised activity is the generation of mature 5'-ends of tRNAs by cleaving the 5'-leader elements of precursor-tRNAs. The record is from RNAcentral.